ACAAUAUUCACAGAUACAUCAGCUGAUGGAAAGUAUGCCCAAUCAAGUCACUUUGAAGGAUUGGAAAAACUGGUUGGAAAUGAUGCUGCAGGCUUAAGUUCAAAUCCAGUUGGUGGAUCCUCUCAUCCUGAAAAUCCAUCUUCAUCAAGACCAGUGCAAGGAAACUGUUUAACAGCAGAUAAGAUGGUUAAGAAUAUAUCAGAGAAAAAGAGGAAACGGCCUUCUGAGACACAGCCCUCUUCUGGUCAGAAUAAGAAGGAUCAAGAAAUAAAUGAAGCUAUGGCAGAAGCCUUGUUGGAGAUGGUGGCUGCUUCCAGGUGGAGAAAGGCUGCACCAAAGCAAAACAAUGAAAAAUUUACCAUAACUAAUUGCAUUAAAGCACUGGAUGAGAUAGGAGACAUUGAUCAACAGCUGUACUUUGCAGCUUUGGACCUGUUUGAGGAGCGUAACUUGAGAGAGACAUUUAUCUCUUUGAAAGGUAAUCAGAUACGGCUGACUUGGUUGCAGGGGAAGUGCGGUAAAUCCACCAUUUUCUUGUAGGUUAAGGAAGAGGUUGUGGCCUUUUUAAUCCCCAGAGGUGUAAACAUCCUAUUUAGUUGCUCCUAUCUUAUUUUUGGUAAACAAGGUCUUUUAAGUCGGGGGUUUAACCAAUACCAGAAACUAGGUCUAUACAAGCGUGUAAAUUGUGAUUACUUGACGAAUAGGCAAUCAAAGUUGUUUAUUGGUGAAGUGAUUUCAGGCCUGAUAACAUCAAGAUAAGACACUGCAUGCUGUGUGGCUCUUUUCGAGGCAGUUAUACCAUUUAGGUGAUACUUUGAAAUGUUCUGAACACGAACCGACAUAUGCAUCGCUAUUAAGAAUCUUAAGUGUAGCAAGGUCCUCAGGCUAAGGGCAGUGCCAGGGGAAGCCCUUCUUCCUAUGUAAGACACAGUUAUGUUUUCUGGUCGUGAUCUGAAUGAAUUCAUGAUGCAACGCC
This 976-nucleotide unclassified non-coding RNA is filed under the name Hevea brasiliensis (rubber tree). The record is from RNAcentral. Lineage: Eukaryota; Viridiplantae; Streptophyta; Magnoliopsida; Malpighiales; Euphorbiaceae.